CAUAGAGCACUCGGCGGGGACGCCCUUGGCGACGCGCUUGGGGUCGGUGCAGUAGUUGUAGAUCAUGUAGUUUCUCUGCACCCACCGCAUCCGCUGCUGCCGCGUCAGGUCCAGCUCCUGGUUGUACCACUCGCCCGUCGCGCCGGUGCCGGGGGCGACCUCCGUGCCGACGCUGGCGCCGCAGCGCGGCCGGCCGCCCGCGGUCACCACACACGCGUCGGCCUUGAAGCCGCGGUACGAGGCGGAGAACGGGGCGUGGGACCAGUCCGUCUUGACGCGGCCGCCCUGCGUGGCCCAGUCGUCGGCGUUCCAGAGGCUGGAGUAGAGCCGCAUGGGCUGGUUCUUGGGGAAGGCGAUCCCCUUUCCCUCCAGGUUCCUGAAGUCCCUGAUCGGCAUGUCGUCCACCAUGAAGCUGCAUUAUUAUUUACACCACCAAAUCAAUCAGUCCAUGUAUCAACAAACAUACAUGAUGUGCUUUGGGUUCCAGAGGAUGGAGUAGGUGUGGAAGUCGUUGGUGGGAUCGAACCAGAGGCGGAACUGCUGCUCCCGCUGGCCCUGCCCCUGCGUGAACACGUUUGUGUGCAGAGUGUACGGCUCGCCGGUGACGUUGCCAAGGAACUCGAAGUCAAUCUCGUCGUGCCAAUGAAUGGAAGUUUGGUCGCGUACGUAGUAUGCGGUGACGGUGCCGGCGGAGUUGCCGGGGACGAGCUUGAGCUGCAUGUCGAUCUUGCCGAAGAGGUACUCGUGCUUGGACUGGAACCC
Molecule: ribosomal RNA, 762 nt
Filed under: Triticum aestivum (bread wheat)
Lineage: Eukaryota; Viridiplantae; Streptophyta; Magnoliopsida; Poales; Poaceae
Description: partial small subunit ribosomal RNA
Source: RNAcentral